CCUACGGGAGGCAGCAGUGAGGAAUAUUGGUCAAUGGGCGCAAGCCUGAACCAGCCAAGUCGCGUGAGGGAUGACGGUUUUCGGAUUGUAAACCUCUGUCCUCUGUGAAGAUAAUGACGGUAGCAGAGGAGGAAGCUCCGGCUAACUACGUGCCAGCAGCCGCGGUAAUACGUAUGGAGCGAGCGUUGUCCGGAUUUACUGGGUGUAAAGGGUGCGUAGGCGGCCCUGCAAGUCAGAAGUGAAAUCCAUGGGCUUAACCCGUGAACUGCUUUUGAAACUGCAGGACUUGAGUGGAGUAGAGGUAGGCGGAAUUCCCGGUGUAGCGGUGAAAUGCGUAGAGAUCGGGAGGAACACCAGUGGCGAAGGCGGCCUACUGGGCUUUAACUGACGCUGAAGCACGAAAGCGUGGGUAGCAAACAGGAUUAGAUACCCGGGUAGUC
RNAcentral lists this ribosomal RNA (440 nucleotides) under uncultured bacterium. RNAcentral describes it as "partial 16S ribosomal RNA". It matches the Rfam family "Bacterial small subunit ribosomal RNA", at positions 338 to 795 of the family's 1533-position model. The record is from RNAcentral.